This is a long non-coding RNA of Heterocephalus glaber (naked mole-rat), 800 nucleotides long. The record is from Ensembl. NCBI's taxonomy places the organism in Eukaryota, Metazoa, Chordata, Mammalia, Rodentia, Bathyergidae.
CACCAGCCAGAGCCCGCGGCCCCGUCCCGCCUUUCUGCAGACGUUGCCUGGAAAUUAGGGGAGACCUGUUGGAAAUAAACCCCUGUCUCUUUAAUGCACACACGCACACACGCGCGCGCUACCGCUGUCAAAAAGCGGGCUUCACUCUGGCGUGGGAUACUUUCAGUUUUACGUAAAAUGUACAGCAACAGCACCCCCUGCGAUUGGAAAGUUUAUUCAGAAACGUGCUUGCAAAGUCCCCCGGCGUCUCCCGCCUCCCAGCCUCCCUGCCUGCCUACACCACCCAGCCGCCGCCGCCGCCGGGGAGAUCGCGCUCCGAUUCCAAAUCAGGAAGGGCCUGGAGGGGAGAGAAAAUGGACUCGAGUCCUAGGGCGGCGCGAGGGUGCAGGGUGGACACCGGUGGCCGCGGCCCGCGAGACCCCGAGCUGCAGGUGGAGGCGUCUCUAGGGCUCUGAACGUGAAUGUGGUCAGCAAACAACUCGAAGAAGGAGUCUUAAUACAGUCCCAGCCCUCCUGCGAGGAUCGCCUGGCCGGGGACUCGGGCUGAGCUGGAGGAUGAAGGGUUAAAAGGCCUAUCUCGAUGGAAACUACAAAAUUAAAAGUCGUCCUGGGCCUUUAGAGGGCUGGUGGGCUGCUUCAUACACCUGGAUGGACCCAUCCAAAAGAAAAGAGAACAGGAUGAAAGGAAGGAAGAUGAAUUACUUGCCUCUAGACCAGGCUGCUGUGUGCUGAGUCAAUAUUGCAUGGGAAGGAGAGGAGCAGUAGCCUCACCAUGUAAGUAAGAGGCCCCUUGGAAGGGA